RNAcentral lists this long non-coding RNA (1724 nucleotides) under Marmota monax (woodchuck). The record is from RNAcentral. Lineage: Eukaryota; Metazoa; Chordata; Mammalia; Rodentia; Sciuridae.
AAACAAAAAACAAAAAAAAAAAAAGUCAGAGAAAAGCCCGGGAGGCCAAGAUAGAUCUAGAAAGAGAAAAUCCAAAGAACAGAUUUAUAAAUGAAAAAGCUAAAGCUAGAAUCAGGGGUGAAACGGAGGGUUAGUGAGGUGUAGGGGACGGGGAUCAAGGACUGAUGGGCACAGAAAAGAGAGUGGACAGCCUCACAGAGGGUCAGAGGUGGAGAGAGAGAGAUGUACACAGAAAGUGAGACCAAGACAGACCCUGAAAUACUAGAGACAGAGGGGUGUGAAGAGAGACAGCUCAACUGAAAGACCCAUGAAAGAUGGCUGCCAAGUGACAGAAACCAACCAUGCAAGUGAAGAUGGCCCAGCCAGGUCAGAGUCACGCAGGAGGGCAGUGCAAUGCAGGGACAGGCAGACCUCCACCAUGGCCCUCUCAUCCCCAGGGACCUAUCCGGACCCCACCCUCCUCUUUCACUCCAUCACGGACAACCUCAUCUGUGCCAUUGUCUUUGGUGAACACUUUAGUUACCAGGACCCCAAAUUCCUACAUCUGCAGAGUUACUGAAGGAAACAUUCACCAUCCUCAGCUCCUUCUAUAUCCACGUGAGGUCAAAGAUUCCAGGAUGGGCCAGGAAUCUGGGAUGGGACCUGGAGUUCCCUGUCCUGAGCUCAGGAGCAGGAAGGCACAGUGGUUCUUGAAAGAACAAUCAAGGCUUGCCUUCGGAGAAAAUGCCAUUUAUUGAGAAACAGCUCUGCAUAUUUAUAGAGCUGGGAGUGGUCUGACAGUUGGCAGGGGUUCCUUUUUGAUUGGUGUGUAAGGAUCAGGUGAACAAGCAGAGCUAGUCUGAUUGGUGGGUAAGGAUCAUGUGAGCCAGCAGGGCUAAUCUGAUUGGUGGGUAAGGAUUAUGUGAGCCAGCAGGGCUCACCAUUGGUUGGCAGGAUCAUGUGAGCCAGCAGGGCUCACCAUUGGACGGCUCUUCUUGGGGGAUGGGGAAGUUAGUCUUUGGAGCCCCGGCAACUCCCAACAGUUCUGACCCUGGAAGGGGAGGCGGUUAUUUAAUCUCUCCCUGCUUCUGACUUCUGAGUAACAGUCCCACAAGGCCCCUGCCAGCAUCUGAGGUGCCUUUUUUAUUGUUUUUGAACUCAACUUUGUUUUAUUUUUAUAUACAUUUUGUUUUUCCCAUAAAUAAUAUAUUGACAUAGCUUUCAGUAAUACUUGAGCUGAAUACAUGCUUUUGACACUGCUGAUCUUUUUAAUGGAGUUCACGGCUACAUUGAUUAAAUGAAUUCCUUUUUGAACAAAUAACAAGUAGAAAGACAGGAACAAUUUAAUUUUAAUAAGCAGCUCAAAUAACACUUGGUUAAACUACGUACAAUAUAAACAAUUCAAACAAAUGAAGAGUAGGAUAUUGAAUUUGUUACCCUAUGUGUAGUAAAGACAAGACAGACCUUUCCCUUCUUAGAUAAGGAUUGUAACUUGUUUUAAGUGGCCUUAGUACAUCUCAACUUUGCAAAUAUCCAAAGAUUGGCAAUGAAAUCUGUAAUCCCAAUGUCUGCCCACAUGUAGAUGCCAAAUGUUUGCUCAUCUUUACUGAAAACAGCCUCCCUCCACAGCGGGGGGAGGAGUGGAAGAGUCAUUUUGUAUCACCUUGAAUGUGCCUACUGUAUGCUGGAAAAAAAGUGGCUACCCUUUGUGUUCAUAAAAUAAAGAAUACAGAGCUCUAAAGACA